Molecule: ribosomal RNA, 461 nt
Filed under: uncultured bacterium
Lineage: Bacteria
Description: partial 16S ribosomal RNA
Rfam family: Bacterial small subunit ribosomal RNA
Source: RNAcentral
CCUACGGGUGGCAGCAGUGAGGAAUAUUGGUCAAUGGACGAGAGUCUGAACCAGCCAAGUAGCGUGCAGGAUGACUGCCCUAUGGGUUGUAAACUUCUUUUAUAAAGGAAUAAAACGAGGCACGUGUGCCUUUUUGCAUGUACUUUAUGAAUAAGGAUCGGCUAACUCCGUGCCAGCAGCCGCGGUAAUACGGGGGAUGCAAGCGUUAUCCGGAUUUAUUGCGUUUAAAGGGUGCGUAGGCUGUGAGGUAAGUCAGCGGUGAAAUGCCCCCGCUCAACGGGGUGAAGUGCCCUGGAUACUGGCGUGCUGGAAUGCGGAUGCCGGAGGCGGAAUGUGUGGUGUAGCGGUGAAAUGCAUAGAUAUCACACAGAACACCGAUUGCGAAGGCAGCUCACGAAUCCGCGAUUGACGCUGAUGCACGAAAGCGUGGGUAUCAAACAGGAUUAGAUACCCUAGUAGUC